Molecule: ribosomal RNA, 253 nt
Filed under: uncultured bacterium
Lineage: Bacteria
Description: partial 16S ribosomal RNA
Rfam family: Bacterial small subunit ribosomal RNA
Source: RNAcentral
UACAGAGGGUGCAAACGUUGCUCGGAAUUACUGGGCGUAAAGCGCGUGUAGGCGGACUGAUAAGUCAGAUGUGAAAUCCCUGGGCUCAACCUAGGAACUGCAUUUGAAACUGUCUGUCUUGAGUAUCGGAGAGGAUUGCGGAAUUCCUGGUGUAGAGGUGAAAUUCGUAGAUAUCAGGAGGAACACCGGUGGCGAAGGCGGCAAUCUGGACGAUUACUGACGCUGAGACGCGAAAGCGUGGGGAGCAAACAGG